Long non-coding RNA from Drosophila sechellia, 292 nucleotides. RefSeq lists it as uncharacterized. The transcript has 2 exons. The record is from RefSeq and is a predicted model, not a curated record. Lineage: Eukaryota; Metazoa; Arthropoda; Insecta; Diptera; Drosophilidae.
CAGCAAUGAUCCUCGGGCCUCUACGCGCCGGACGACAUCCACAGUCUGUGAUAAAAUGGGAAUCACCAUGAUCGUUUAAACAUAUUGUCGGUUUAUUUGGCUCGUACGAGUAGACUACUAAAAAGGUGAUUAAUAGUUUCAUCACCUUUCAAAGUAAUAACUUAGUUACGAGGUGUUGAAAUACGAAUGGAGAUCGAUCAAUCUAGUUUACGAUUUUAUUUAUUUUUAUGAGCAUACUUCUUCCGAUAUAAAACACAUUUGUAUAAAAUACGCGCAAAAGUUAUGGACAUUA